CAUUCCCCAUCUUUAAGUUUAUGCUUUGCUCCCCUUCCUUCUGUUCCAAUCUUGUUAAAUCUGCUCCACCUUCUGGCUGACUGCAACUGGUAAUUGUUUCCUUUUGCAUACUUUCACGAUUCACAUUAAGGGUUUGAUCCCCUGGAGGUGACUCUUUUGCCCCCGAUUGAGAAGGUCCUCUCAUUUCCUCGAUAUAAGGCUUUAGCCCAGUAUCAUCAGAGAUCUCACACGAGAGGUCAUUAAAAAUGACUUGUGCAGCCAUAUCGGGGCCAUAGGAUUUCAACUUGACUUUUGACACUUUACUGCUUUGAUUCAUCGAAGUUGAACCUUGUGUAAAUUGUCCACUUGCUUUUCCUUUACCAGUGUUUAGCUCAUACCGUGUCUUUCUUUCAGCCCAGAUUGGGAUGAAGAAUUUGAUACCGUCUCUUUCAAUCCCCACCUCAUUGGGAGUCUUUCUGCCAUCACCAGCAAUUUUGAUUCUCGCCCACUUAAGAUGAUUUUUGAGAUCAGUUUCUUCUUCUGUAGCUAACCAACCCCCACAUAGAUCUCCUAUUUCUUUGAAGAUCUUUUGUGACCAUAGAUGUAAAGGAAUCCCCAUGGCUCUAAUCCAGCAUGUUUCCUCAAUUUGUGAGUUUGGAAUGCAACCGGCUGUAUGAUUCCACCAAUCCAGAUGAAGCUUGAAUUUUUUCCAUCUCCAUUCUCCUUGCACAAUCUGCUCUGCCAUGAA
Molecule: long non-coding RNA, 727 nt
Filed under: Nicotiana tabacum (common tobacco)
Lineage: Eukaryota; Viridiplantae; Streptophyta; Magnoliopsida; Solanales; Solanaceae
Description: long non-coding RNA (NTAB_LNC009379)
Source: RNAcentral